RNAcentral lists this unclassified non-coding RNA (229 nucleotides) under Schizophyllum commune. RNAcentral's name for it is "partial internal transcribed spacer region". The stretch from base 1 to 46 matches the Rfam family "Eukaryotic small subunit ribosomal RNA", at positions 1786 to 1831 of the family's 1831-position model. Lineage: Eukaryota; Fungi; Basidiomycota; Agaricomycetes; Agaricales; Schizophyllaceae. The record is from RNAcentral.
AAGUCGUAACAAGGUUUCCGUAGGUGAACCUGCGGAAGGAUCAUUAACGAAUCAAACAAGUUCAUCUUGUUCUGAUCCUGUGCACCUUAUGUAGUCUUCUAAAGCCUUCACGGGCGGCGGUUGACUACGUCUACCUCACACCUUAAAGUAUGUUAACGAAUGUAAUCAUGGUCUUGACAGACCCUAAAAAGUUAAUACAACUUUCGACAACGGAUCUCUUGGCUCUCGC